Molecule: long non-coding RNA, 843 nt
Organism: Spinacia oleracea (spinach)
Lineage: Eukaryota; Viridiplantae; Streptophyta; Magnoliopsida; Caryophyllales; Amaranthaceae
Exons: 2
Source: RefSeq, a predicted model, not a curated record
AAUUACCACCUAAAUUUUUUUUUUUUUUUUUUUAUUUUCACCACAUGUUAACAAAUUUGUUAACAUAUCCGUAAAGUGGGCCCCAGUCCCAACAUCAAGCUCAUUAAAAUUUUACAAAAUACACGCAAAAAACUACUGAAGGCAUACUUUCAAAAAAGAAAAACUACUGAAGGCUUUUGGUUCUUCCUGCUUCUUCCAAUCCGCAUGUAAAUCACAAAUUUGCAUCACAAAACUUGAAAUUGAUUGAGGGAUUUAAUCAGAUAUUUAAUUUCGAGCAAUUUGGUGGGCGAAAGAUGAAGAAUUAAGGAUCGCUCGUGUCUACAUUGAAUUUUUCACCUUCAAAAGAGAAAUAACUGUGGCUGCGAUCCAAUCACAAAAACGGGGAUGCAAAGCUUUGAUCAUUAACAAUCUUUUGCUGGACAAGAAGCAGAUGAAGAGGGAAAUUGAUGGUUUGAAUGGGCAAAUGAGGUAUCUGAUGAAUUAAAUCGAUAGUUUGAAGGUGAAAAAAAAGGCUUUAAUUAAGUUCUGACAGGAAGAAGAUGAACAUGGAAGCAGUAAAGAGAAAGGUUGAAUGUGUGGGAAGCAGUAAAGAAGAAGCAUAGCAGUGAAGAAGUGAAAUAACGUACGUGAGUUAGGGCAGAAUUUGGAGGGAAGUUUAAUUGGUGGGCCCAACUUCACGGAACUGUUAACAAGUCUAUGAACAGGUGGUAAAAAAAUAAAUUAGGUGGUUAUUUAAAACUUUGAGAAUUUUAGGUGGUUAAUUAAAAAUUUGGUAUUUUUUUAGGUGGUAAAUGACAAAAAAUCCAUAUGAAUAAAUUAAUUUGUAAGUGGGAUUGAUGGUGA